This 126-nucleotide small RNA is filed under the name Marmota monax (woodchuck). The record is from RNAcentral. Lineage: Eukaryota; Metazoa; Chordata; Mammalia; Rodentia; Sciuridae.
GCUGGGCAGGGUGGUGCAUGCCUGUAAUCCAGUGACUUGGGAGGCUGAGGCAGGAAGAUUGCAAGUUCAAAGCCAGCCUCGACAACUUAGUGAGGCACUUAGCUACUCAGCAGGAUCCUGUCUCUA